AUGACAAGGCCUGUGCAAGCACUAAGAGGAGUUGCGCCACAACUUUUGAUGCAUACGGCACUAGCAAGAGGUCCUGCGCGACCUCCUAUGGGUCCUAGACCAGCAAUUUGGCCUGCACCACAAACUAUGGGGGCUAUACAACCACCGCAGCGGCCUAACGCGGCAAACACAACCAAUGUGGCUAGUCCUGGACUGGCACCAUCACCUGCAUCAUCAGCAACAGUGGAUGGCAUGUAUGGACAGCACCCAGGUUCUUCAAAUACACAACAAGAAAAUGCCAAUGCAAUUCCAUCUCCUAUUGUGCAAGCUCCUGGUGGACAUGCGCACCAACCGCUCAGUAUGGCAUCUCUACAUGCAGCUGUUGCGGCCGCACAAGGUACUACGAUGGUUGAACCACAGUUUGGAAGACCUGCUACCACACUUGGCCCUGCAAUUCCUAGAGACCCUCCAAAAUCAACAACAAAAGGGAGGGCAAAGUCAAAAAGAAUUCAAUCAGCACUUGAGCUGCAUCUGAAGAGAAAGAACAAGUGCAGCUAUUGUGGUUCUGUUAACCACAAUGGUGCAAGCUGCCCGACCAGAUUGGUGUAA
Molecule: ribosomal RNA, 588 nt
Filed under: Triticum aestivum (bread wheat)
Lineage: Eukaryota; Viridiplantae; Streptophyta; Magnoliopsida; Poales; Poaceae
Description: partial small subunit ribosomal RNA
Source: RNAcentral